This 901-nucleotide long non-coding RNA is filed under the name Homo sapiens (human). Its description in RNAcentral is "non-protein coding lnc-CREB3L4-1:2". Lineage: Eukaryota; Metazoa; Chordata; Mammalia; Primates; Hominidae. The record is from RNAcentral.
GCUGCAACUUUACCUUAGAGACGUUUUGGUCCCCAGGCAGCCGCCGUACCCCAGUCUCUCCAAACCGGGAUUCCCCUUUGGCCAUCUCUCAUUCUUUCAAUUCUAAAGAUGGAGACUGGCGAACGGCGAUGGGGUCUGCGGUGGGCGGUGUUUCGUCGCGACAGACUCUAGGAAAUUUCACGAUAGAACUAGCUUUAGGCGCUUGAGCCUUGCCGUCUUUUUGGGGUGUGGCCUGUCUCCGUCUGCCAAAGGCUUUGAGCUUCCUGGUGUUCAUCGUACCUCCGCUUGGUCCUGUCGUGACUAAACCACGACAGCAGGAAAAAAAAAAAAGCAGCUAGCCAAGUUGCUGAGGAAUUACGGUGUGCAGAGCCCUCGCAGCUCCUUCUCUUGGGAACUCCUGGUCUGGUUAGGUUCUCAGCGAGGAAACAGCCUCCCACCCCGCCCGAUUCCACCUAAUUAACUCAAGGGCCAGCUCCUUUUGCUGGCCUCCCUGCUUCCACGGAGCAGUUAGGCCCGCCUAAACUCAGCGAGCGUUUCUGGAGCACCUUGAGGAUAGGGACCAAGUAACAGAGUCCGGGUGUUAAGGUUAUGAUAGUAGUUAACGUUUUUGGAAAGAGACUGUGUCAGGCUCUGUGCUAAGAACUUUACAUGAAGUAUUUAUUCCUCAUGACUGUGAGCUCCUCUAGGACACUGAAAAAGCAUCCUAACAUGCUCAAGACAGGAUAGGAAAUGGUCCUCUGGCUUGAAAGACUCAGCAUCCAGAAGUAGUACCUCACUCUCCAUCCAGUGGUCACCCCCCAGAAAUGUGCUCUCGUAAGUUAUUUCCUCCAUUGAUACGCCUGCUCUCCUUCCCCAAGGCAUUUGUUUUAUUGGCUAAUUCCCUUUGGUAAUUGGUUUGCCG